AUUGAACGUUGGCGGCAGGCCUAAUACAUGCAAGUCGAACGGCAGCACAGAGAGCUUGCUCUUGGGUGGCGAGUGGCGGACGGGUGAGUAACGCGUAGGAAUCUACCCAGUAGCGGGGGAUAGCCCGGGGAAACCCGGAUUAAUACCGCAUACGCCCCACGGGGGAAAGGCCGGGAUCUUCGGACCGGUCACUAUUGGAGGAGCCUGCGUUGGAUUAGCUUGUUGGUGGGGUAAAGGCCUACCAAGGCUGCGAUCCAUAGCUGGUCUGAGAGGACGAUCAGCCACACUGGAACUGAGACACGGUCCAGACUCCUACGGGAGGCAGCAGUAGGGAAUAUUGUGCAAUGGGCGAAAGCCUGACACAGCCAUGCCGCGUGUGUGAAGAAGGCCUUAGGGUUGUAAAGCUCUUUCAGCCGGGAAGAAAACGCAUGGGUUAAUACCCUGUGUGGAUGACGGUACCGGAAUAAGAAGCACCGGCUAACUACGUGCCAGCAGCCGCGGUAAUGU
This 507-nucleotide ribosomal RNA is filed under the name uncultured bacterium. RNAcentral's name for it is "bacterial SSU rRNA". It matches the Rfam family "Bacterial small subunit ribosomal RNA", at positions 30 to 526 of the family's 1533-position model. The record is from RNAcentral.